AGAUUGUCAUAAUGUGUAGUUUCGCAUUUCAUAAAAUCUCGUCCCAUGCCAGCUCUCCUCUCUCUAUCUGUACUCUCUAACAUACGUGAGAUGCCAAUAGUUUUCUUUCUAUCGGAUUUUAUUGUUUUUCGUCCCACGCUUCGACAUUUUCUAUAUUCCUUUUCGUCGACGAUUUUUUCGUGAAGCUUUUCAUCACAUUUUUGCAGAGAAUUUGAGAAACAAAGUAUGAAAAAUGUUUUGUUAUAGUUCCACUUGGUUUCAAAACUUGUUGUUGUGUUUACACACAAUACGUUUAGUGUAAUAACAUUGAGAAGAAUUUUAAUAGUAAUUUGUAGUUGUUUGCGCGCUCUUCUUUGAAUCCGAGUAUCGCUGAAAUCGUUUUGUUAGUUUACUACAAUAAGCGGAAGCGUACAAAUUUACAUGCGCAUGUACGUGUAUUUAAAAGCGUUUUUUAUAAGACAAAGUUAAUCUCAUUUGCCGUAAACACAUUCAUAUGUUCAUAGCUACAGUUGCUUUAAUCUUGUCGAACGAGAAAACUCUUACUAACAUUGCCUACAGGUUGAUAAUCAAAAAUUUGAUCGCUAAUGUUAUGUUUUGAUCAGUUUUCUGCAAAACGUUUUUACAUUUAACAUUGUGACGCGUCAUUUUCUUAUACAAACUUCGUGCAUGCGUCGAUAGAACUGUACUUCCAAAGCAGCAGUUUUUUCAUUAUGUUUUCCUGAUUAAAACAUCGUAUAGAAGAACAUGUAGUCUAAAUCGGCUCCUCUUUGAACUGCAAUUAGAACGCGCUUGUUCUGCGACACAAAAUCCAAGUAAGGUUGGUGUGGAUGUCGUACACAAGUACCUAAUCGUAUCAAAUAUCGAAAUAAAUGUGUACUAAUGAUACAAAGUUAUGAAGGGAUAUCGAAGAUCAAUAAAAUACGGCAUAAUGCUCAGAAAACCGUAGAAAUAGCCGCCGGCUUAAAGAAAGGCCGUGAAGAUAUAAUCGAGAAAGUGAACGAUAUCAACCGACAAAUCGAUGAAACCAUAAAUCAAAUAAAGAUCUCAAAAAACAAACGAGCGCAGUAGCAGGCUUUGGGCAAACAAAAAUAUGAUUUAUCCAAAUGGGAAUAUUCAGAAUUACGUGAUGCAAUUAAUACAUCUUGUGAUAUUGAAUUGUUGGAGGUUAAUUUUCACUUCAUUGCAUUAUCUUUAAAUAAAAGAUAAAAAUAAAAUAUUAGACUUGCCGCCAAGAGUUUCAUCGCCGCCUUAAGGUUUAUCACGCCUGAAAAGUUAAGAAUCGUAAACGUACUACUAUGGAAGAGAAU
Glossina fuscipes is the source of this 1307-nucleotide long non-coding RNA. RefSeq lists it as uncharacterized. The transcript has 4 exons. The record is from RefSeq and is a predicted model, not a curated record. NCBI's taxonomy places the organism in Eukaryota, Metazoa, Arthropoda, Insecta, Diptera, Glossinidae.